AUGCUUCAUGCUAGUGCGACUUCCUCAUGUCAUGACUUACCACUUUAUGAUGAUUAUGAUGAUGAGCAUGUUGAAUUGCCUACUUGUGAUGCCAUGUUACAUAGGAUUUCUUGUGACAAUUCUUUAGGUCACAUCAUCUUUGCUAAUCCGCUUGACUUGUCAUAUGCUAGGCAUGAGAUCAACCAUAUGUCUUAUUUGCAAUCUCUUCAUAGUGACUAUGCAUAUGCCAUUAAAAUAAACCCAAUUUGCACUUAUGGCAUAGAUGACAAGCCCAUGGUUAUUGGCAUUUGUUUCUCUUGUGAUGAUAUUGAUAUGCUCCCUUUGCAUCAUUUAUCUCAUAUGCCAUGCCAUGACCACCUAGCUUCGGAUAUGCAUUGUUUUGGAUGUUGUCCAUUUUCUCCAUAUUAUGCUUCCGAUAUUGCUCAUGAGGAGACCCCCAUAGUUUCCUCAUACCCAUUAGGAGAUUUUGAUCCAUCCUAUCAUUUGCAAGAUUUCCAUGAUUGUGUGCACCAUAUGCUCCCCAUGAAUAAACAUGCUUUUGAUGUGCCAGAUACUUGUUUGCUCAAUUUGUGUCCCCAUCAUGUCAUACAUAACAACUAUUCUUUCAUGAUGGAUGACAUGUUCAUAUACCAUGCCUCAAGUUUCUUUGGCAUUGCUUAUCUUGUGCUAACUCACACGUGCACAUACACAUCAUGA
RNAcentral lists this ribosomal RNA (696 nucleotides) under Triticum aestivum (bread wheat). RNAcentral's name for it is "partial small subunit ribosomal RNA". Lineage: Eukaryota; Viridiplantae; Streptophyta; Magnoliopsida; Poales; Poaceae. The record is from RNAcentral.